Chenopodium quinoa (quinoa) is the source of this 1438-nucleotide long non-coding RNA. RefSeq lists it as uncharacterized. The record is from RefSeq and is a predicted model, not a curated record. The transcript is spliced from 2 exons. Lineage: Eukaryota; Viridiplantae; Streptophyta; Magnoliopsida; Caryophyllales; Amaranthaceae.
UGGUCUUAGCGAAUUUAAAGGGGCUUGAACAAGAUGAAGGUGGUAAGGGUAGGAGGAAGAAGAUGAAGGUAGUAAGAGAAAGAAGAAAAUGGGAGGAAGAAGAAGAAGGUGAUAACUGGUAAGAGGAAGAAGAAGAUGGGAGGAAGAUCGAGUUAACAACGUUAACUCCGAUGUCUUUCAUCACAUGUGGCCAAACAGUUAUUAUAAUAUUUUUUAUAUCAAUUUGCACACAAUUUAAGAAUAUUUAUUUACAAUAGUGCCAUUUGACAUACAUAAUGUGUUUAUCAAAUAGAUAAAGUGGGGCUCCCUACACAUACCAAACGCUUAUGCGAAGGAAACCCUGGAGAAAUAAAGAGAAAAAAAAGAGAGAAAAAAGAACCCCCACCCAAGAGCACUGAAGCACCGCCGCAACGCAUUACCUAGCUUUUCAUUGCCGCCUCCCCUAUCCAAAACAACUUAUGCCUUUAAUCGUCCACCUUAAUGUCCUAAUCUGAUAUCGACUCACUGAGAACACACCUUACUCAGAAACUCCAUUGCUUCUCGACGGUCCUCGUCGUCGUUUGUUCAUAUCCUUUAUGAUGAUAAUGUCAUCCAUAAGCUUAACUCCAUGAUAAUGUCAUCCAUAAGCUUAACUCGAAACCCCUCGCUACUAGAACUUCGAUUCAGAGGUUCACAGUACAACCCCUGGCGCUAACCCGACUCACCUUCAAAUUCACCUGUUUCCGAAUCAUUAAUUUAAGAAAUUAACGUUCAUGGAUCUACUAAAAUUGAAGGUUUUUUUGUUAUGCCACAAAAUCAACAGGACUUUUCAUAGAAUUCAAACUGUUGUUUUUUAUUUGGAGAUCGAAGUUAGUAGAAUCUGAAGACCUUCAUCUUCAAUCUUUCUCAGGAGAAGGAUGCGGCUUCUAGGUGUAUCUCGUUCUUAUAUUGUCCUGUGCUUGUGUUGGUUACUCCCUUUAUGCUGAAUCCAAUGCUUAGCCAUCCGCUCUGGAUUCGAGUGCUUGACAUCCGCUGCGGGACACUAGUGACUCUUUCACUAUUUGGAUUCUUACAUAUUCUGUACCUGGUGGCUAUAGUAUAUUAGAACUGUAAUCGUAUGAAUUGUGUACCUUUUGUAUGUUGGUGUUGUGCCGCGCUUUUUCCCACCUUCAUAUCAUAUCCUUUGGUGUGGUUGCCGUAAUUUGAAGUUGUUCGGCUGGUGGUGUUCCAACUGGCCUGGGCAUUAAAUGGUUUCUACAUGUCGUGUCUUGCCUUCCAUCGGAGCCUUGGUUGGUAAUUAUUGCAUAUAUUCAAACAUUAUCCUAUUUUAUGUAUUUGUAUAAUUUACAACUUUUUCCUUGUUUAAAUGUUGUAACUAAUGCAUGGGGUUGUAAUUGUAAUAGCAAUAAGCAUCAAAAUGAAGUAUGAUGAAUGGGUUGAGUCAACCCCUUAGAAUCGA